Molecule: microRNA precursor, 82 nt
Filed under: Bombyx mori (domestic silkworm)
Lineage: Eukaryota; Metazoa; Arthropoda; Insecta; Lepidoptera; Bombycidae
Description: mir-2807 microRNA precursor family
Rfam family: mir-2807 microRNA precursor family
Source: Rfam by way of RNAcentral
UUAACUCAAAUUUGUAUGGAGUUGGAUCGCGUCUAUGUUUGCCGCUAGGGGCGCUGUUUCAACUGCAUACAAAUUUGAGUUA